UGAUGUGGCGCCUACGUAGCGGAUCAUCCUCCAAGGAAGGACCAUCACCAUACCCUCUAGCCUAAGAGUACGGAGUACCUUAGGCUACACGGUAUGGGUCCGUCCCCCCACCCGUCCUGGUUCGGCGACGCAAGCUACACCAACCCGCCCCCCGUCCCCGUCCUCACCGUCCCUUCCUGGACGUUGGCGACGAACCAAAUGUGUGCCCCCUUCCUUCAAAAAGUUACCCUUUUUUUUAAAUUAAAUUUCCAUUUUUCAAAAACAAACAAACGGUCAAAAGAUUUAAAUAUAUAUAUUUCCAUUCCAAUUUCACCUCCAUUCACAAAUUUAACCCCAAAAUUUCAUUUCUCUCACAUAAUUUUUAGAGUAAACUUCCGUUUUGCUCCCUGUGGUUUGGUCACUUUAACGGUUUUGCUCCAACCGAUCCCGACACAACCCUUUCUACAAUCCGAACCCGACGACGAUGUGGAGGUUGUUCCCGAAACCCAACCUGCUAAAGAAAAAGGAAAACGAAAAAAAGGCAAGCAAGUGGUGGGUGAGCAAUCGUCCAAACCGAAGUCGACUAAGUGGACGCCAAUCGAAGAAGAAGCCUUAGCCAAGGCUUACAUAGGCAUGUCUACACACCCGACAAAAGGUAACGGGUGACGGGUUUUGGUCCAAGGUUUUGGCGAAGUUCCUCGACCUUAUUGACCAAGGCCCGUAUCGAGAUAUCGACUCGGUGUCAUCAAAGUGGCGGAAAAUGAACGCGUCCGUCAAUAGGUUUUGCAAGGAAUAUAAUAAAAUAUAUACAAGUGGGCGUCGUAGCGGCAUGAGCGACGACGAUGUGUUCAAACAAGCGUUGGAGAAGUAUAAGGCGAACAAUGGUAAUACCAACUUUGCUCACGUUCGCGCGUGGGAAAUUUUGAAAACGGAACCAAAAUGGGCGCCGAUUCCCAACGAGGUGGAGAUGGCGAAACGCAAAAAACAUCGGAAACGGGUAGUUUUAGCGCCGGUGGAUCGGACGCGAGGUGUCACAUAAACUUAAAUGACGACGCCGACUUUGACGAAGAGGAGUAUGCCGUACAUGAAGCGGAGCGUCCACCGGGCCGAGACAAAUCAAAGAAGGAGCGGGCCAAGGGGAAAGAAAAGGAAAAGGUGGACCCGAAGAUGGAAGAGUUUAUGGAACACUUAAAAAUGUACAAUAACGUCUCGGCCUAAAAGACGAAGGCGAAGGAGCAGGCCGUCGAAGAAAAAACUCGUGUAGUGGAAGAAAAGUUACGCGAGAAGGUCCGAUUGUCGAAUGAGAAAAUCCGAAUUUCCGAUGAAAAAAUUCGCCUCAAGGAAUGGGAAAUAAUAACGAUGGAUGUCGAUCAGUAUCCCGAGUCGAAACGUUCGAUGUUGAAAAAACUACAAACCGACAUCAUGAAGAAGCAUGAUAUUAUUUAAGUCUAUGUUUUUUUUAUUAAGUUUAUGUUUUGUUUUAAAUUUAUGUAAUGUGGUUUUAAUAUUAAUGAAAAUAUUUUGUUAGUUUA
Long non-coding RNA from Helianthus annuus (common sunflower), 1511 nucleotides. RefSeq lists it as uncharacterized. The record is from RefSeq and is a predicted model, not a curated record. Lineage: Eukaryota; Viridiplantae; Streptophyta; Magnoliopsida; Asterales; Asteraceae. The transcript has 2 exons.